Molecule: ribosomal RNA, 484 nt
Filed under: uncultured bacterium
Lineage: Bacteria
Description: partial 16S ribosomal RNA
Rfam family: Bacterial small subunit ribosomal RNA
Source: RNAcentral
AUUGAACGCUGGCGGCAGGCCUAACACAUGCAAGUCGAGCGGAUGAAGGGAGCUUGCUCCUGGAUUCAGCGGCGGACGGGUGAGUAAUGCCUAUGAAUCUGCCUGGUAGUGGGGGAUAACGUCCGGAAACGGGCGCUAAUACCGCAUACGUCCUGAGGGAGAAAGUGGGGGAUCUUCGGACCUCACGCUAUCAGAUGAGCCUAGGUCGGAUUAGCUAGUUGGUGGGGUAAAGGCCUACCAAGGCGACGAUCCGUAACUGGUCUGAGAGGAUGAUCAGUCACACUGGAACUGAGGCACGGUCCAGACUCCUACGGGAGGCAGCAGUGGGGAAUAUUGGACAAUGGGCGGAAGCCUGAGCCAGCCAUGCCGCGUGUGUGAAGAAGGUCUUCGGAUUGUAAAGCACUUUAAGUUGGGAGGAAGGGCAGUAAGUUAAUACCUUGCUGUUUUGACGUUACCAACAGAAUAAGCACCGGCUAACUUCGUG